This 403-nucleotide ribosomal RNA is filed under the name bacterium. RNAcentral describes it as "partial 16S ribosomal RNA". It matches the Rfam family "Bacterial small subunit ribosomal RNA", at positions 355 to 776 of the family's 1533-position model. The record is from RNAcentral.
UGGGGAAUAUUGCACAAUGGAGGGAACUCUGAUGCAGCGACGCCGCGUGAACGAAGAAGGCUUUCGAGUCGUAAAGUUCUUUUAUAUGGGAAAAUAAUGACGGUACCAUAAGAAAAAGCCCCGGCUAACUACGUGCCAGCAGCCGCGGUAAUACGUAGGGGGCUAGCGUUGUCCGGAAUCACUGGGCGUAAAGGGUUCGCAGGCGGAAAUGCAAGUCAGGUGUAAAAGGCAGUAGCUUAACUACUGUAAGCAUUUGAAACUGCAUAUCUUGAGAAGAGUAGAGGUAAGUGGAAUUUUUAGUGUAGCGGUGAAAUGCGUAGAUAUUAAAAAGAAUACCGGUGGCGAAGGCGACUUACUGGGCUCAUUCUGACGCUGAGGAACGAAAGCGUGGGUAGCAAACAGG